Myotis davidii is the source of this 75-nucleotide non-coding RNA. Lineage: Eukaryota; Metazoa; Chordata; Mammalia; Chiroptera; Vespertilionidae. The record is from Rfam.
UGCAGUUCUCAGGUGAUGCCCCCUGGAAUCGGGCCCCCUCCACUCUGGUUCCGGGUGUGUCACCUGAGAUCCACU